CGGGUGCUGACGAGCGGCGGACGGGUGAGGAAUGCAUAGGAAUCUGCCUAUUAGUGGGGGAUAACACGGGGAAACUCGUGCUAAUACCGCAUACGUCCUACGGGAGAAAGCGGGGGAUCUUCGGACCUCGCGCUAAUAGAUGAGCCUAUGCCGGAUUAGCUAGUUGGUAGGGUAAAGGCCUACCAAGGCGACGAUCUUAGCUGGUCUGAGAGGAUGAUCAGCCACACUGGGACUGAGACACGGCCCAGACUCCUACGGGAGGCAGCAGUGGGGAAUAUUGGACAAUGGGCGCAAGCCUGAUCCAGCCAUGCCGCGUGUGUGAAGAAGGCCUUCGGGUUGUAAAGCACUUUAAGUGGGGAGGAAGGUUAGUGGUUUAAUACGCUACUAAAUUGACGUUACCCACAGAAUAAGCACCGGCUAACUCUGUGCCAGCAGCCGCGGUAAUACAGAGGGUGCAAGCGUUAAUCGGAAUUACUGGGCGUAAAGCGCGCGUAGGUGGUUUUGUAAGUUGAAUGUGAAAUCCCCGGGCUUAACCUGGGAAUGGCAUCCAAAACUGCACGACUAGAGUAUGGGAGAGGGAGGUAGAAUUCCAGGUGUAGCGGUGAAAUGCGUAGAGAUCUGGAGGAAUACCGGUGGCGAAGGCGGCCUCCUGGCCUAAUACUGACACUGAGGUGCGAAAGCGUGGGUAGCAAACAGGGUUAGAUACCCUGGUAGUCCACGCCGUAAACGAUGAGAACUAGCCGUUGGUCUCCUUGAGAGGUUAGUGGCGCAGCUAACGCGAUAAGUUCUCCGCCUGGGGAGUACGGCCGCAAGGUUAAAACUCAAAUGAAUUGACGGGGGCCCGCACAAGCGGUGGAGCAUGUGGUUUAAUUCGACGCAACGCGAAGAACCUUACCUGGUCUUGACAUCCACGGAAUCCUGCAGAGAUGUGGGAGUGCCUUCGGGAACCGUGAGACAGGUGCUGCAUGGCUGUCGUCAGCUCGUGUUGUGAAAUGUUGGGUUAAGUCCCGUAACGAGCGCAACCCUUGUCCUUAGUUGCCAGCGAGUAAUGUCGGGAACUCUAAGGAGACUGCCGGUGACAAACCGGAGGAAGGUGGGGACGACGUCAAGUCAUCAUGGCCCUUACGACCAGGGCUACACACGUGCUACAAUGGCCGGUACAGAGGGUUGCCAAGCCGCGAGGUGGAGCCAAUCCCGAAAAGCCGGUCGUAGUCCGGAUUGCAGUCUGCAACUCGACUGCAUGAAGUCGGAAUCGCUAGUAAUCGCAGAUCAGAAUGCUGCGGUGAAUACGUUCCCGGGCCUUGUACACACCGCCCGUCACACCAUGGGAGUGGGUUGCACCAGAAGUAGUUAGCUUAACCGCAAGGGGAGCGAUUACCACGGCGUGAUUCAUGACUGGGGUGAAGUCGGAACAAGGUA
RNAcentral lists this ribosomal RNA (1419 nucleotides) under metagenome. RNAcentral's name for it is "bacterial SSU rRNA". It matches the Rfam family "Bacterial small subunit ribosomal RNA". The record is from RNAcentral.